Molecule: ribosomal RNA, 547 nt
Filed under: uncultured bacterium
Lineage: Bacteria
Description: bacterial SSU rRNA
Rfam family: Bacterial small subunit ribosomal RNA
Source: RNAcentral
GGAAUAUUGGGCAAUGGAGGGAACUCUGACCCAGCGACGCCGCGUGCGGGAUGAAGGCCUUCGGGUUGUAAACCGCUUUCAGCAAGGAAGAAGCGAAAGUGACGGUACUUGCAGAAGAAGCACCGGCUAACUAUGUGCCAGCAGCCGCGGUAAUACAUAGGGUGCAAGCGUUGUCCGGAAUUAUUGGGCGUAAAGAGCUCGUAGGUGGUUCGUCACGUCGGAUGUGAAAAUCUGGGGCUUAACCCCAGACCUGCAUUCGAUACGGGCGAGCUAGAGUGUGGUAGGGGAGACUGGAAUUCCUGGUGUAGCGGUGGAAUGCGCAGAUAUCAGGAGGAACACCAAUGGCGAAGGCAGGUCUCUGGGCCAUUACUGACACUGAGGAGCGAAAGCGUGGGGAGCGAACAGGAUUAGAUACCCUGGUAGUCCACGCCGUAAACGGUGGGCACUAGUUGUGGGAACCUUCCACGGUUUCUGCGACGCAGCUAACGCAUCAAGUGCCCCGCCUGGGGAGUACGAUCGCAAGAUUAAAACUCAAAGGAAUUGACGG